UUGGUGCUUAUGUCAAGAAGACAGCGAAGGCUGGAGAUUUACUGACUGUAAACACUGACAUCACCAAAAGACCAACUGAACCUAUGCUGUGGUAUUUCAACAACACCAUCAUCGCUCUAAUUAAUGGAGAGGCCAGUACGAGCUGUCUGUAUGGUGGUGAUAGUGGAAGAUUCAAAGACAGACUGGAGGUGGACUAUAAGACUGGAUCUCUGACCAUCACGAACAUCACAGCUGAACACACCGGAGUUUAUGAAGCAGAGAUCAUCAGAAGUAGUAGCCUAGGAACUAGCCAAAGAAUAAACCGAACCAGCAAGUGUGACAGCACUAAAGUGAUUUCAAAAACCAAACAGCAACAUGGGCAACACCAUAAAAACAUGCAUUGUUUCUGUCAGCGAUCCUGAAACAAAUUAUAAACCUAUCAACGUGGACCCGCAAGAUUCUGACAAGACAAAUUCAGGUCUGUCUGCUGGUGCUGUAGCUGCAAUAUGUGCUGCUGGUCUACUGAUUGCAGCUGUAGUGGGUUUUGUGAUUUACCGUCAUCAAAAGAACAAGGCUA
This is a non-coding RNA of Danio rerio (zebrafish), 556 nucleotides long. Lineage: Eukaryota; Metazoa; Chordata; Actinopteri; Cypriniformes; Danionidae. The record is from RefSeq and is a predicted model, not a curated record.